AUUUUUUUUUUUUUUUUUAGUUCUAGUUUAAUUUCCUCAAGUGAAUGUAUCAGUUAUCCUUUAUACUGCAACGAAAAAACUAUACAUGUGAGAUUAAAGGGGAUGAAAGUGAGAACAAAAAUGAAAUCUCAGAUUCAUUAACUCCACAAAAAAGUACGUUGUCAAGGACUGCCCUACGGAAAGCUUUUGGAAGCAGCAAUUGGUCAACCGACUAAGGAAGCCUGUUAUGCCUAUUGCUGUGGGCCCAACUUAUCUACUGAGUCAUUGGAGUAUUCAGCAAUUUAAAGUGUCUUCCUCAAACAACUGCUCCAGACCAACAAGAACAUGUAAAAUGACAAUGUUUUCAGCUUUUUUAAGAUGGAAUUUUACGUUAUUUAGAGCACAAUCCAAGUGACAAACAUGAACAGCUCCAUUCUCAUUGGAUGCUCUUUUGCUCAUCAUUUCAGGCUCCCUAUAGCCUGUCGGCUGAGAAGCAUAAACAAGUCUGUUUAAUAAAGAAUUUUACUAAAUUUGUAGUGCAAUGUUUCUUCCAAGUCACCUUGUCAAUGUGGCAUGCUUUGUAAUGUAUUAUUAAUAAUGAAUUUUUUGAUGGAUUCAGGUGGACAGGGAAUCACCAGUAAAAAUCUUCUUGUUUUCAAAUGGUGGACAUUGUUGACAAGUUUUUGUUAGGAAAAUUCUUUUUAACCAUGCUGCACUUGAAUUUUUGACAUUUAGGAUACAUCCACAUGUUUGUUUAACGGUGUUGUCUUGUCCAGAAACUAAAUUGACUCUAGUUUAAGUUUACUUCUGAGAAGCACAUAGUAAAACUAGUUUAGUCUGCUGAUUUCAUGUAUUACAUUUCUUGGAUAGGUAAAUGCAGCUAUUCAGCA
This 869-nucleotide unclassified non-coding RNA is filed under the name Hevea brasiliensis (rubber tree). The record is from RNAcentral. Lineage: Eukaryota; Viridiplantae; Streptophyta; Magnoliopsida; Malpighiales; Euphorbiaceae.